This 774-nucleotide ribosomal RNA is filed under the name uncultured Neocallimastigales. RNAcentral describes it as "partial large subunit ribosomal RNA". It matches the Rfam family "Eukaryotic large subunit ribosomal RNA", at positions 23 to 616 of the family's 3401-position model. Lineage: Eukaryota; Fungi; Neocallimastigomycota; Neocallimastigomycetes; Neocallimastigales. The record is from RNAcentral.
AGAGAGAGACAUGCGCGCAUAUCAAUAAGCGGAGGAAAAGAAACUAACAAGGAUUCCCCUAGUAACGGCGAGUGAAGCGGGAAGAGCUCAAAUUUGAAAUCUUAAAGGGUUUCCCUUUACGAAUUGUAGUUUAAAGAAGUGUUUUCUGUUGAGGUUUUGGUAAAAGUUCUUUGGAAUAGGACAUCAUAGAGGGUGAGAAUCCCGUAUUUGACCUUUACUUUCAACUUUGUGAUACACUUUCAAAGAGUCGGAUUGUUUGGGAAUGCAGUCCAAAAUGGGUGGUAAAUUUCAUCUAAAGCUAAAUAUUGGCGAGAGACCGAUAGCGAACAAGUACCGUGAGGGAAAGAUGAAAAGAACUUUGAAAAGAGAGUUAAACAGUACGUGAAAUUGUCAAAAGGGAAGCGUUUGACACCAGUGUUGUUUUCUCGAAAAUCAAUUAAAGAACUGUUUAUGCUAAGUUGUUUAGACUUUAUCAGCUAUCUGUUUAGUUUUGAGCUUUUCUUUAAUGCACUUUUCAGUUAACAAGUCAACAUCAAUUUCUUUUGCUGUAAAAAAGCUUGAGGAAGGUGGCUUGAGAUUCGUCUUAAGUGUUUAUAGCCUCUUGCCUAUGCAGUCGGAGAGAUUGAGGUCUGCAGCGUAGAUCCUUCGGGGCUAAAUGCAUUUGUGCUAAGUUAUAGCAUUUUAUAGACAACUUGUUGACUAUGAUUUGUCUUGUAGCUUACUCGCUUAUGUUAUUUUACCUACGCUUAGGAUGUUGAGCGCAUGUCUCUCUCU